Molecule: ribosomal RNA, 484 nt
Filed under: uncultured bacterium
Lineage: Bacteria
Description: partial 16S ribosomal RNA
Rfam family: Bacterial small subunit ribosomal RNA
Source: RNAcentral
GAUGAACGCUGGCGGCGUGCUUAACACAUGCAAGUCGAACGGUGAAGCAGGAGCUUGCUCUUGUGGAUCAGUGGCGAACGGGUGAGUAACACGUGAGCAACCUGCCCCUGACUCUGGGAUAAGCGCUGGAAACGGCGUCUAAUACUGGAUAUGUGAUGUGACCGCAUGGUCUGCAUCUGGAAAGAAUUUCGGUUGGGGAUGGGCUCGCGGCCUAUCAGCUUGUUGGUGAGGUAAUGGCUCACCAAGGCGUCGACGGGUAGCCGGCCUGAGAGGGUGACCGGCCACACUGGGACUGAGACACGGCCCAGACUCCUACGGGAGGCAGCAGUGGGGAAUAUUGCACAAUGGGCGGAAGCCUGAUGCAGCAACGCCGCGCGAGGGAUGACGGCCUUCGGGUUGUAAACCUCUUUUGGCAGGGAAGAAGCGAAAGCGACGGUACCUGCAGAAAAAGCACCGGCUAACUACGUGCCAGCAGCCGCGGUAA